This is a long non-coding RNA of Herpailurus yagouaroundi (jaguarundi), 1125 nucleotides long. RefSeq lists it as uncharacterized. NCBI's taxonomy places the organism in Eukaryota, Metazoa, Chordata, Mammalia, Carnivora, Felidae. The transcript is spliced from 3 exons. The record is from RefSeq and is a predicted model, not a curated record.
GUGUGCUCUUCAGAUUUCAACAACGUGGAUGAGCCUUGAGGACACUAUGCUAAGUCCCAUAAGCUAGUCAUAGAAGGAUGAAUACUGCAGGAUUCUACUUACUAUAUCUAAAACGCAAAUUCAUAGGGGCAAAAAAAUAGAAUGAUGUCUGCCAGGGACUUGGGGGACAGGAGAAAAUGGGGAGUUGCUAAUCAAUGAAAUUAUGAAAUUUUAGUUUUGCAAGAUGAAUAAGUUCUAGAGAUCUGAUGGACAACAUCGUGCCUCUGGAUAACAAAACCGCAUCGUACACUUAAACAUCUGUGUUAAGAAGAUAGAUCUCAUGGUAAAUAAUCUCACCAAAAAAAAAAACUGUCUCCUAAAAAGAGUAUAUUAACAGUGUAUGUACCUGACAACAGAGCUUCAAAGUACAUGAGACAAAACAGAACCGAAAAGAGAAAUGGGUGAUUAUAGUUGGUUGGGGACUUCAGCAUGGCUCUUGCAGUAAUUGAUAGAAUAAGUAAGUGGAAAACCAGUAAGAAUGUAGAAAAACUGAACAAUACCAUUAACCAACUAGAUCCAAAUGACAUUUAUAAAGCAUUCCUCCUCAAAAUAGCAGAAUAGACGUUGCUUUGAAAUCCUCAGAGAUCAUUCACAAAGAUAGAUGAUAUCCUGAAACAUAAAACAUAUCUAAAAGCAGUUAAAAGAGUUGAAAUAGUUCAAAGUGUGUUAUUUUACCGUAAUGGAAUUUAGCUAGAAAUCAACAACAGACAGGUAACUGAUAAAUCCCCAAAUGCUAGGAAAUUAAAGAACUGCUUCUAAGUAAUCCAUGGAUCAAAGAGGAAGUCUCAGGAAAAGUAGAAAGUAUUUUGAGGUGAGCAAAAAUGAAAAUACAACAUACCACAAUUCAUAUGAAGCAGACAAAGCGGGGCUUAGAGGGAGAUAUAUAGAUUAAGUGCUUAGGUUAGAAAAGAAGAAAAGAUCUGUAAUGAACAAUCUAAGCUUUCACCUGAAGGAGCUAGAAAGAGGAGAGCCAAAUAAAUCCAAAGCAAGCAGAAGGAAAGAAAAACAAUAAAGUGUAGAUGUCAAGGAAUUUCAAAACAAAAUUAAUAGAGCCAAUGAAGUCAGAAACUGGUGUUUCAAAAAAAA